UGCCAGCCGCCGCGGUAAUACGAAGGUCCCAAGCGUUGUUCGGAAUCACUGGGCGUAAAGCGUACGUAGGCGGAUUAAUAAGUUAGAGGUGAAAUCCCAGGGCUCAACCCUGGAACUGCCUUUAAAACUGUUAGUCUUGAGAUCGAGAGAGGUGAGUGGAAUUCCUAGUGUAGAGGUGAAAUUCGUAGAUAUUAGGAGGAACACCAGUGGCGAAGGCGACUCUCUGGGCCAAUACUGACGCUGAGGUUCGAAAGCAUGGGUAGCAAACAGGAUUAGAUA
Molecule: ribosomal RNA, 279 nt
Filed under: uncultured bacterium
Lineage: Bacteria
Description: partial 16S ribosomal RNA
Rfam family: Bacterial small subunit ribosomal RNA
Source: RNAcentral